This 421-nucleotide small RNA is filed under the name Pan troglodytes (chimpanzee). Its description in RNAcentral is "retained intron". The record is from RNAcentral. Lineage: Eukaryota; Metazoa; Chordata; Mammalia; Primates; Hominidae.
UGGUCUCAUGUACCAGAAAUUCCGGAACCAAUUCCUCUCCUUUUCCAUGUACCAGAGCUUCGUGCAGUUUCUCCAGUACUACUACCAGAGCGGCUGCCUCUACCGCCUGCGGGCGCUGGGCGAGCGGCACACCAUGGACCUCACUGUGGGUGAGUCGAGAGUGGCCCUGGCAUCUGGACAUUCUCCUUUCCUCCCAUCCCGGGUCUGAGUGGUGGCGUCCCCUCUGUCCCUGGCCGUCCUGUGCCCUGACCUUCCUCCCCGCAGAGGGCUUCCAGUCCUGGAUGUGGCGGGGCCUCACCUUCCUGCUGCCUUUUCUUUUCUUUGGACACGUAAGUCGUGCCUUUGUGUCCCUGCCUGUCUGUCCGUCCUCUGCGCCGGUUUCGGGCUGCAGCAGGGACUGGGUCUUCUGAGUAAAAUGCCU